RNAcentral lists this ribosomal RNA (347 nucleotides) under uncultured bacterium. Its description in RNAcentral is "partial 16S ribosomal RNA". It matches the Rfam family "Bacterial small subunit ribosomal RNA", at positions 338 to 682 of the family's 1533-position model. The record is from RNAcentral.
CCUACGGGAGGCAGCAGGGAGGAAUAGUGGACAAUGGGCGCGAGCCUGAACCAGCCAAGGAGCGGGAAGGAUGACUGCCCUACGGGUUGUAAACUUCUGUUAUAAAGGAAUAAAGUGAGGCACGUGUGCCUUUUUGUAUGUACGUUAUGAAUAAGGAUCGGCUAACUCCGUGCCAGCAGCCGCGGUAAUACGGAGGAUCCGAGCGUUAUCCGGAUUGAUUGGGGUUAAAGGGAGCGUAGAUGGGUUGGUAAGUCAGUUGUGAAAGUUUGCGGCUCAACCGUAAAAUUGCAAUUUAUACUGGCAGUCUUGAGUACAGUUGAGGUAGGCGGAAUUCGUGGUGUAGCGGU